UACAGGGGGUUGACUCGUGGAGUCUAGACACUUUGAGGAUUGUUCAAAGUGGGUUGAAGAUUGCAGAAGAGGGGAUAUCUUGUUGCAGAUCUUUGUUGUUUGUAUUGCCUAUAUUUUGGUUAGAGGGUUAGAGAGGUGUUUUAUAUUUUGACGUGGAGAUCUCUAUAAAAGCCUUGUUAUAAAAACCCUGACCAUUAUAGUGCAUUUUCUUCUUGGGAUUGGAAGGACACUAGAUUGAGGCCUGAUGGGUGUCGCCGCCCAUACAAAUUUGAUUGCAAUUAGGAAUGCAGUAUAGACUAGGAAGUGACUCCUAGGUCGUCUCUCAAGGACCAAAUGUGGUUCGAGUCUUAGGUCUAACACGAAGGGGGGGGGGUUGUGAAAGGUUUUUGUAAGGAAAAUUGAAUUAAAUUAACACUGAAAAUUAAAUACAACCAAACAUAAUUGAAACAGAUGGACACUAAAACUAACAUUACGACUAAAUUAUCACUAGCGAAAAUACUAGACAACAUUAAAAUAAAAGAAAAUACUAAACUUAACACUGCAACCGAUAAAUAACCAAAUAUAAUUAAAGCUAUUAAAAUGCAUUGAGUAAGCUAAAAAAAUCAAAAGCAAUUCAUCAUGAAAAUGACAAAAGAAUGCGUUGACAAUAAAGAUAAAAAUUAAAUGAGUAAGCUGCUUAACUUGAAUAUUCUAAUAACAAUAUAAUCUAAACAAAGAAAUGAUCUUGGCUAAUAAAAAUAAAAAAAAUAAAUAAAAAAGAACCUCUAAUAAGAAAACCGUGAUAGCAUUUCUCAAUGAGACUUAAAUGCUUCCAAUCAAAUCACCAUUUUUCAUGAGGUGUUGGAAAAAAAAAUUAAAGUACUACUAAUUAAUUAAAUUAAAGAAAGUGAAGUGCUUCCCUGCAUCAAUCCGUAACACAAUUCCAAGAAAGAUCCACACCUAAGCAUAAAUGAAAUGAGCACUUCUAAAAUAUAUAAAAAAAAAACGUAGAUAAUUAAAUAAAAGAAAAGAAAACAAAGUAGCUUUGAAAUCACCGUCCUGCACACUUCUAGCUACUGGAAUCGGCGCAUUUGAUCUUCCUUCUACCAAAUCUCCCCAAGAAAUUAAUCUUCUACAUAUUCCAGCAAUAUAAAACAAAUUCUGCAUGUUUCUCCAUGUCAAAUGAAGGAAAACCCGUGUACCGUUUGUUGUGGAAUAGAAAAUAAAUAAUAAAAAAAAUAAAAUUCAGCAAGGCUUGCACAAGAAUAAAAGUAAAGCAAAGUGCUCCUUCAUUUUUCAUAAUGUAGAUAUUAUCCACCGUGAAUGCCAUUCCCCAAGAAUAAAAAAAACGUGAAUGCCUCAUCCAUUGUCCAGCCAAAUCAUCCGAGUAAGUGGCGGCGGAACAGCAGCUAAAAGAAANGUUCCAGCCCAGAAUAUAAAAAUGAGAAUGACCGUUGNUGCCCCUUUCCCUAGGGCCAAGUGUCAUCUAUUCUAAAAUUUUGGGCCUAAACUAUUUUUCCAAAAAUUGGCCCAUUGUUUACAAAUUUAAUUAAAACUAUCUAGACUACUAACUUUCAAAGUAAUUAAAUUUGAAAUGUCCAUGUGAAGAGUCUUGACUUAUUUGAUAGCACUCCAAAUAUCCCAAAUUGAAUUUCCAAAUUUUUCCCUGAAAAUAAUAAUGCAAAUAAUUAGCUCAAAAUAUUCAAAUUAAUUAAAAUUAGAAUUUCUGGUCAAAUUAAGCACUAUUAGCGAAAACGGGAAAAUACCGGACAAUUAAGCACAAUUCCC
RNAcentral lists this long non-coding RNA (1767 nucleotides) under Vigna radiata. RNAcentral describes it as "long non-coding RNA (VRAD_LNC000490)". Lineage: Eukaryota; Viridiplantae; Streptophyta; Magnoliopsida; Fabales; Fabaceae. The record is from RNAcentral.